CCUACGGGUGGCAGCAGUGGGGAAUUUUCGUCAAUGGGCGCAAGCCUGAACGAGCAAUGCCGCGUGAACGAGGAAGGUCUUCGGAUCGUAAAGUUCUGUUGAAGGGGAAAAAGAGCGGAGAGAGGAAAUGGUCUCCGAUUGAUAUUACCCUUCGAGGAAGUCACGGCUAACUACGUGCCAGCAGCCGCGGUAAUACGUAGGUGGCGAGCGUUAUCCGGAAUGAUUGGGCGUAAGGGGUGCGUAGGCGGCCUGCUAAGUCUGGAGUGAAAGGUACCGGCUCAACCGGUACAGGCUUUGGAAACUGGCGGGCUAGAGAGCAGGAGAGGGCGGUGGAACUCCAUGUGUAGCGGUAAAAUGCGUAGAUAUAUGGAAGAACACCAGUGGCGAAGGCGGCCGCCUGGCCUGUUACUGACGCUGAGGCACGAAAGCGUGGGGAGCAAAUAGGAUUAGAUACCCUGUAGUC
RNAcentral lists this ribosomal RNA (463 nucleotides) under uncultured bacterium. Its description in RNAcentral is "partial 16S ribosomal RNA". It matches the Rfam family "Bacterial small subunit ribosomal RNA", at positions 338 to 795 of the family's 1533-position model. The record is from RNAcentral.